RNAcentral lists this small RNA (680 nucleotides) under Histoplasma capsulatum. RNAcentral describes it as "hypothetical RNA". Lineage: Eukaryota; Fungi; Ascomycota; Eurotiomycetes; Onygenales; Ajellomycetaceae. RNAcentral also lists the same sequence under 1 other name. The record is from RNAcentral.
UGUUAAGAAACCCUCCCAUUAGUUAUCUAUUCAUAUGUCAGAAUAACUCCGUCGACGUUUUUUCGUGACUUCUUUCAUCGUCCCGAGUAAGUCAGUUAUCGAUUGUUCUGCCUUUCUGUCAUACCUCGACAGGGCCUUCUGCCUGAAUCCUGGUGCCGACCCGUCUGGAUUGCUUCGAGACGUGGUCUGUUCUGAAAUCUGACAAUAAUAUAGAGCAACCCGUCCCGAUUUUCAGUCCUCAUACCAAAACAACGUCAACUCGGACUCCAUAACUCUCCUUACUUAAAAAUCACCGUCCUCCCACCGCUUAACACAGCCAAUUAGAAUAGUUGGGAUCUUUCUACGAUCUUCCAGGAAGAACCACCCCCAUCGAGAGGCACAACAUCGGGAUUGGGAUUGGGGCCCAAGUGCCACCCCACCCCAUUGUGUGGCUGAUCAUGAAGACAUUCUUCAUUGCCUUUAGAUAUCGACUGGUACGGAUCCUUCUACGACAAUAGGAAGGAUUGGUGGUGGCAUAAUAGCCAGGAAACAGAAAGCCUCAGUUAUCGUCGAACCUUCAAAUACGCAUAUCCAUACACACACAAUAUUUUACGACAUUUGCAUGCAUUUCGCCACUUGAAUUUACUGUUUUCUCUCUAAUAAUGGACGGGGCCCCCCCCCCUCCUCCACCUCACGGUACU